GAUGAACGCUGGCGGCGUGCCUAAUACAUGCAAGUCGAACGGCAGCUUGUUCCUCACCAAGGUUCGGAACAGAUGCUAGAUGCUAGAAACUAGAUAGUAGAAGAUUUUCUUCUACCGUUUAGAAUCUAGCGUUUAGAAUCUAUUCAUUCCGAGCUUUAGUGAGGGAUGAAGGCGAGUGGCGGACGGCUGAGUAACGCGUGGGAACGUGCCCCAAAGUGAGGGAUAACUUUCGGAACGGAAGCUAAUACCGCAUAUGAUCUUCGGAUUAAAGCAUUUAUGCGCUUUGGGAGCGGCCCGCGUCGGAUUAGCUUGUUGGUGAGGUAAAGGCUCACCAAGGCGACGAUCCGUAGCUGGUCUGAGAGGAUGAUCAGCCAGACUGGGACUGAGACACGGCCCAGACUCCGUACGGGAGGCAGCCAGUAAGGGAAUCUUCCACAAGUGGGCGAAAGCCUGAUGGAAGCAACGCCGGCGUCGCGAGGAUGGAAGGCCCGUUAC
RNAcentral lists this ribosomal RNA (495 nucleotides) under uncultured bacterium. RNAcentral's name for it is "bacterial SSU rRNA". It matches the Rfam family "Bacterial small subunit ribosomal RNA", at positions 28 to 429 of the family's 1533-position model. The record is from RNAcentral.